AAAACGGUCCUUUUCAGGACCAUCAAUCGGAGUAAUAAUAUAAAU
Acyrthosiphon pisum (pea aphid) is the source of this 45-nucleotide non-coding RNA. NCBI's taxonomy places the organism in Eukaryota, Metazoa, Arthropoda, Insecta, Hemiptera, Aphididae. The record is from Rfam.